Molecule: unclassified non-coding RNA, 178 nt
Filed under: uncultured Sebacina
Lineage: Eukaryota; Fungi; Basidiomycota; Agaricomycetes; Sebacinales; Sebacinaceae
Description: sequence contains ITS1
Source: RNAcentral
GUGAUUGUGAAUCGUUGCCUUCAGUGCUGGCUGGCUCCCUCCAGCAAGUGCACGUUGGUGACUUUCAUCCAAAUACCCAUGUGAACCUUUGGCCUCUUGCUGGCUUCGGCUGACAGAGGAUUUUACACCCACACUCGAAUGUAAUGAAAAAACCCUUUGGUGCGCAAGCACUUAUGUA